RNAcentral lists this ribosomal RNA (440 nucleotides) under Conchiformibius steedae. RNAcentral describes it as "bacterial SSU rRNA". It matches the Rfam family "Bacterial small subunit ribosomal RNA", at positions 24 to 460 of the family's 1533-position model. Lineage: Bacteria; Pseudomonadati; Pseudomonadota; Betaproteobacteria; Neisseriales; Neisseriaceae. The record is from RNAcentral.
UCAGAUUGAACGCUGGCGGCAUGCUUUACACAUGCAAGUCGAACGGCAUCGGGGAAGUGCUUGCACUUCUGCCGGCGAGUGGCGAACGGGUGAGUAAUGCAUUGGAACGUACCGGGUAAUGGGGGAUAACUUGCCGAAAGGUAAGCUAAUACCGCAUACGCUUUAAGAAGGAAAGCGGGGGAUCAUUUGACCUCGCGUUAUCCGAGCGGCCAAUGUCUGAUUAGCUAGUUGGUGGGGUAAAAGCCUACCAAGGCAACGAUCAGUAGCGGGUCUGAGAGGAUGAUCCGCCACACUGGGACUGAGACACGGCCCAGACUCCUACGGGAGGCAGCAGUGGGGAAUUUUGGACAAUGGGCGCAAGCCUGAUCCAGCCAUGCCGCGUGUCUGAAGAAGGCCUUCGGGUUGUAAAGGACUUUUGUACGGGAAGAAAAAGUUGUGGC